RNAcentral lists this microRNA precursor (180 nucleotides) under Paramuricea clavata. The record is from RNAcentral. Lineage: Eukaryota; Metazoa; Cnidaria; Anthozoa; Malacalcyonacea; Plexauridae.
ACCACUCCCACAAACGUCUACGGCCGCGCCUACAUAGUUUGCAUGUUUACAAUUCUAAUUUUGAACAGCCAAUCAGGUUCUUGCUAACAAUUACAAUUAAACGUCGAUUGGCUGUUUAAAAUUAGAAUUAUAAACAUGCAAAAAUAUGUAGGUUUGGUCGUAGACGUUUGUGGGAGUGGU